Long non-coding RNA from Mobula hypostoma (lesser devil ray), 687 nucleotides. RefSeq lists it as uncharacterized. The record is from RefSeq and is a predicted model, not a curated record. Lineage: Eukaryota; Metazoa; Chordata; Chondrichthyes; Myliobatiformes; Myliobatidae. The transcript has 3 exons.
ACGGGGAGGACGGCGGACGUGCGAAAGGGUCCGGUCGAUCACUCCGGGUGGUCCCGAGCCGUGAGUCGACAGGAUCCGGGUGGUCGUCUGAAUUCGAUUGAGCUCCAACGGCAGCGCGCGAAGAAAUUGGACUUUGAUAAGUUUAUUCGAUGGGAUUAUUUGAAGCAUUGUUCUCCCAUGGGUCCCCCAGAGAUGAUGCUGAUGUUCCCCUUGUAUUCAUGGAAAGGGACAGUGAAAGAGCAGAACAGAACCAAGGAAUUCCCUUGUCUCCUUAUCACCUUGCCAGAAAUCUCCAUGGUCCAUCUAUUAUUGUCAGCAGCUGUGAAGACAGAAGUGUGGUGUUAACACUGAGCUGAAGCCUCAGACACUUUAGGAGUCAUACUAUAAGACCAUAAGACACAGGAGCAAAAUUAGAUCAUUUGUCCCAUCGACUCUGCUCCACCAUUCCACUAUGGGUGAUUUAUGUGCCCACCCUGGGUCACUGCCCUGUUGAAAGAGGGCUGAAUUAUGAGAGAAUUGUGUUGUGUCACAUUCAAUAGAUAGUGAAUGAAUCGAAUUGAGUUGAAUUGACUUUAUUUCUUACAUCCUUCGUAUACAGGAGGAGUAAAAAUCUUUAUGUUACACCUCUGUCUGAAUGUGCAAUGUGCAAAUUAUAGUAAUUUGUAAUAAAUAGUAUGUAGAGUAAGA